GGGGGAAGGGGGAAGGGGGUUGGCACGUGGCAGGUGGAUGUCUACGUGCAGUGUGCCUUGCCGAGUUCUAGCAAAGAUUUCUUGUGGCAGCGCAUCAAUCCGGACGACCAGCGCAGGAUAAUCCGUUCGACGGACAAUGAAGCUGACGGUGGCCCUCAUAGCCCUUGGCAUUGCUGGAAUUUUGCUACAUGAGUGUACAGCUAAACCAGUUGUUCAGCUCUCCGGAGCGGCGUCCGAGGAAGCUCAACGCACGUACGUACGUGCCGAAGAUGCCGAAGCCCGUUUAUCUGUGGUUUGCGUGAACAACCAGUGCAUCACCUCACAAACAUCUAUAUCUUGUGUGAACGACAAGUGCGUCACGUACAAGAAAUAAGCGCAAGUCUUAAAAAAUAUGUAUUCACGACUGCAACGCACCAAUGGCGACUGCCGUUUCCUUUCGCAAGAAGCAACUGAUUUGCUGUAGACCAGCUUCAAACGGCCAAGCGCGCAACGAAGUCUCUGACUGUACUCUACUGGUGAUGGUAAAA
This is a long non-coding RNA of Rhipicephalus sanguineus (brown dog tick), 527 nucleotides long. RefSeq lists it as uncharacterized. The transcript is spliced from 3 exons. The record is from RefSeq and is a predicted model, not a curated record. Lineage: Eukaryota; Metazoa; Arthropoda; Arachnida; Ixodida; Ixodidae.